AAACUUGUAUUUUAAAACCAAAAGCUGGAGAUCUGAUGGGUCUGAUUCCCAGUUAAGGUAUUUUUGCCCAUCCAUCCUGCUGAACUCCUUUUUUGUUGUUAAAAAAUUGACUCUUGUUAAAAGUCAAGCUUCGGACACAAGUUCAUUAUAACACCGCAGAUCAUCCGUAAGCAAAUGCCGUUCCACCCUACAACCACAACGCUCACCGUAUCAUCCGUAAACUCCCGAUAAUACCCCUACCACUUUCGCCGCUUUCUGAGGCCCCAACUACAAGGAACAAACUGUAAUACUUCGCUUCGAGACCUUCCUAUUUUCUUUCCCCCUGUGCACUCUUUGGUUUGAAAAAAGAACCCCCUGUUUCUUUUUCUGUAGAUUCAAAAACCAAACCUUGCGGCUGCAUAAUUCUUAGCGGGCACCAAUCUUCAUUCUUCUCGAGACCUCAUUCUUUGCCAUUACCCUUAUCUCUUUCAAAUCCCGCCCUAUUUCUUUACUCGUGAUUGCUUCAUUGUCCGUACAGUUUCUUAUACAGGCUCCUGGGUUUAUCGCAUUCGGGAGAUAACAAUUCGGCUCUGUUCGCUUCUUAAGUUAUGGCUAAUUUGGCUUGGGGUUUGGUUUUCUCACUUCUUCUUUGCUUCUUGGCAUCUGGGUCGCUCUCAAUUGAGGAUUUGCACCAAGCGUUUCCUAUUGUGGAACCUGAUCCUGGUCAUACAAAACUUCGUCUUUCAAGUGAAGGGCUGGAAGCCAUCAGAAGAAUAACAACCCCGAUUGCCGCUGUUGCUGUAAUUGGUCCAUACCGCUCUGGCAAAUCUUUUCUCCUUAAUCAGCUUCUUUCCCUCUCUUGUUAUGAAGGAUUUGGUGUUGGGCACAUGCGUGACACAAAAACAAAAGGGAUUUGGGUUUGGGGCUCUCCACUGGAGUUGGAUAUUGGUGGCAUGAAAACUUCUGUAUUUUACCUUGAUACUGAAGGAUUUGAAAGUAUCGGGAAGUCAAACGUGUAUGAUGACCGGAUUUUUGCUCUGGCUACUGUAAUGAGUUCUGUCUUAAUAUAUAACCUGCCUGAGACGAUCCGGGAAGCUGAUAUAUCUCGACUGUCAUUUGCUGUUGAGCUUGCUGAAGAAUUCUAUGGAAGAGUGAAGGGACAGGAUGUUGCUUUUGAGCCAGCAAAGCUUUUGUGGCUUAUCCAGCGCGAUUUUUUGCAAGGGAAGUCUGUGCAAGAAAUGGUGCAUGAAGCUCUUCGACGUGUCCCUAAUGAUAAUGGGGACAAAAAUAUUGAUCAGGUAAACCAGAUCCGAGACUCUUUGGCUGUUAUGGGUGGUAACAGCACAGCCUUUAGCUUACCGCAACCUCAUCUGAUGCGAACAAAGCUCUGUGACAUGAAGGAUGAACAACUUGACCCAGCAUAUGUUAGAAAGAGAGAGCAAUUGAAAAAGCUUGUUGCUAGUGUUAUUCAUCCAAAAAUUGUUCAGGGCAAAUAUCUGAAUGGCAAGGAGUUUGUAGCGUUCCUGGAACAGAUACUUGAAGCCUUGAAUAAAGGAGAGAUCCCAUCAACAGGCUCUCUUGUGGAGGUUUUCAAUAAGGAUAUUCUCAAGCGGUGCUUGAAGCAAUACAAUGAAAGGAUGGCUAAAUUACACUUACCUCUGUCAGCUCAAUCUUUGCAAGAUGCCCACGAAAAUUCUAGAACAGAAGUAAUGAAAGUUUUUGAUGAACAGCAUUUUGGCCGUCAUCACGCAAAGAAAUCUGUCAUGCAAUUGGAUGAAGAGAUACAAGAGGUGUAUAAGAAUUUCAUUCUUUCAAAUGAAUAUCAAUCCUCAAGGCUUUGUGACGAACUAUAUAUUAGAUGUGAGGACAAGAUGGACCAGCUUCAAGUUCUUAAACUUCCCUCCAUGGCCAAGUUUAAUGCAGGUUUUCUGCAAUGCAACCAAAGUUUCAAUCGAGAGUGUGUUGGACCUUCAAAAGCAAACUACGAGCAGCGCAUGAUGAAGAUGUUGGGGAAGUCAAAAUCUCAAUUUAUCAAGGAAUACAACCAGAGGCUUUUCAAUUGGCUGGUGGCCUUCUCCCUUGUCAUGGUUGUGGUGGGACGGUUUAUUAUAAAGUUUAUUUUGAUUGAAAUGGGAGCAUGGAUACUAUUUAUCUUCUUAGAAACAUACACAAGGUUGUUCUGGUCAGCAGAGUCUCUUUAUUACAACCCAGUUUGGCAUUUCAUUGUUGCCACUUGGGAAACAAUUGUCUACAGCCCCUUCAUUGAUUUGGACAGAUGGGCUGUUCCGAUCUCUUUUAUGUUUGCUAUAUUUCUACUUUAUUGGCGGUGUUAUGGGAGCCGGAAACAUGGGUCACGUGGACUUUUGCCUCUGUACAACAAUGGUAAAGGUACCUCAAACCGGCCGAGAUCAGAUUAAAAUGAUACAAGUAUAAAUUCAGGGGAUUAUCAUGGGCGAGCUUUUCUUGUUUUAGGUUCAAAUUCUCUGUAUGCAAUAGAAAGAAAUUCAUAGUUGUAUGAUGUCUUCCUGCCGAGGAAAAAACAAUGCGAAAGGAGGGGAAACAAAUAAAAAAGGAAAAUUGCAGUAAAGGUUAUCAGCUUAUCGGUUGUUUAAUCAUGUUGAUUUUUAUAAUAUACUUUAUAUCUAAUUUGGAAUAAUAAUAAUAAUAAUAAUAAUUUUUUUUUAAUGCAA
RNA transcript from Mangifera indica (mango), 2669 nucleotides. It is a transcript of the gene named guanylate-binding protein 4-like, with no coding region annotated. The transcript is spliced from 18 exons. The record is from RefSeq and is a predicted model, not a curated record. NCBI's taxonomy places the organism in Eukaryota, Viridiplantae, Streptophyta, Magnoliopsida, Sapindales, Anacardiaceae.